Molecule: ribosomal RNA, 466 nt
Filed under: uncultured bacterium
Lineage: Bacteria
Description: partial 16S ribosomal RNA
Rfam family: Bacterial small subunit ribosomal RNA
Source: RNAcentral
GAUGAACGCUGGCGGCGUGCCUAACACAUGCAAGUCGAGCGAACCCUUCGGGGUGAGCGGCGGACGGGUGAGUAACGCGUGGGUAACCUGCCCUGUACACACGGAUAACAUACCGAAAGGUAUGCUAAUACGAGAUAAUAUAUUUUAAUCGCAUGGUUAAGAUAUCAAAGCUCCGGCGGUACAGGAUGGACCCGCGUCUGAUUAGCUAGUUGGUGAGGUAAUGGCUCACCAAGGCGACGAUCAGUAGCCGACCUGAGAGGGUGAUCGGCCACCCUGGAACUGAGACACGGUCCAGACUCCUACGGGAGGCAGCAGUGUGGAAUAUUGCGCAAUGGGCGAAAGCCUGAUGCAGCAACGCCGCGUGAGCGAUGAAGGCCUUCGGGUCGUAAAGCUCUGUCCUCAAGGAAGAUAAUGACGGUACUUGAGGAGGAAGCCCCGGCUAACUACGUGCCAGCCGCCGCCGUAA